This 2262-nucleotide ribosomal RNA is filed under the name Yersinia ruckeri. RNAcentral's name for it is "partial 23S ribosomal RNA". It matches the Rfam family "Bacterial large subunit ribosomal RNA", at positions 1 to 2285 of the family's 2925-position model. The record is from RNAcentral. Lineage: Bacteria; Pseudomonadati; Pseudomonadota; Gammaproteobacteria; Enterobacterales; Yersiniaceae.
GGUUAAGCGACUAAGCGUACACGGUGGAUGCCUAGGCAGUCAGAGGCGAUGAAGGGCGUGCUAAUCUGCGAAAAGCGUCGGUAAGCUGAUAUGAAGCGUAAUAACCGACGAUACCCGAAUGGGGAAACCCAGUGCAAUUCGUUGCACUAUUGCAUGGUGAAUACAUAGCCAUGCAAGGCGAACCGGGGGAACUGAAACAUCUAAGUACCCCGAGGAAAAGAAAUCAACCGAGAUUCCCCCAGUAGCGGCGAGCGAACGGGGAAGAGCCCAGAGUCUGAAUCAGUUGGUGUGUUAGUGGAAGCGUCUGGAAAGUCGCACGGUACAGGGUGAUAGUCCCGUACACAAAAACACACUGGCUGUGAACUCGAUGAGUAGGGCGGGACACGUGACAUCCUGUCUGAAUAUGGGGGGACCAUCCUCCAAGGCUAAAUACUCCUGACUGACCGAUAGUGAACCAGUACCGUGAGGGAAAGGCGAAAAGAACCCCGGCGAGGGGAGUGAAAUAGAACCUGAAACCGUGUACGUACAAGCAGUGGGAGCACCUUCGUGGUGUGACUGCGUACCUUUUGUAUAAUGGGUCAGCGACUUAUAUUUUGUAGCAAGGUUAACCGAAUAGGGGAGCCGUAGGGAAACCGAGUCUUAACUGGGCGUCUAGUUGCAAGGUAUAGACCCGAAACCCGGUGAUCUAGCCAUGGGCAGGUUGAAGGUUGGGUAACACUAACUGGAGGACCGAACCGACUAAUGUUGAAAAAUUAGCGGAUGACUUGUGGCUGGGGGUGAAAGGCCAAUCAAACCGGGAGAUAGCUGGUUCUCCCCGAAAGCUAUUUAGGUAGCGCCUCGUGAACUCAUCUUCGGGGGUAGAGCACUGUUUCGGCUAGGGGUCCAUCCCGGAUUACCAAACCGAUGCAAACUCCGAAUACCGAAGAAUGUUAUCACGGGAGACACACGGCGGGUGCUAACGUCCGUCGUGAAGAGGGAAACAACCCAGACCGCCAGCUAAGGUCCCAAAGUCAUGGUUAAGUGGGAAACGAUGUGGGAAGGCAUAGACAGCCAGGAUGUUGGCUUAGAAGCAGCCAUCAUUUAAAGAAAGCGUAAUAGCUCACUGGUCGAGUCGGCCUGCGCGGAAGAUGUAACGGGGCUAAACCAUGCACCGAAGCUGCGGCAGCGACGCUUAGGCGUUGUUGGGUAGGGGAGCGUUCUGUAAGCCGUUGAAGGUGGCCUGUGAGGGCUGCUGGAGGUAUCAGAAGUGCGAAUGCUGACAUAAGUAACGAUAAUGCGGGUGAAAAACCCGCACGCCGGAAGACCAAGGGUUCCUGUCCAACGUUAAUCGGGGCAGGGUGAGUCGACCCCUAAGGCGAGGCUGAAAAGCGUAGUCGAUGGGAAACAGGUUAAUAUUCCUGUACUGGGUGUGACUGCGAAGGGGGGACGGAGAAGGCUAGGCUAGCCGGGCGACGGUUGUCCCGGUUUAAGCAUGUAGGCGGAGCGACUUGGUAAAUCCGGUUGCUUAUCAACGCUGAGGUGUGAUGACGAGCCACUACGGUGGUGAAGUAGUUGAUGCCAAGCUUCCAGGAAAAGCCUCUAAGCAUCAGGUGACAUUCAAUCGUACCCCAAACCGACACAGGUGGUCAGGUAGAGAAUACUCAGGCGCUUGAGAGAACUCGGGUGAAGGAACUAGGCAAAAUGGUGCCGUAACUUCGGGAGAAGGCACGCUGGCAUUAGGUAAAGAGACUUGCUCUCGGCGCCGAAGCCAGUCGCAGAUACCAGCUGGCUGCAACUGUUUAAUAAAAACACAGCACUGUGCAAACACGAAAGUGGACGUAUACGGUGUGACGCCUGCCCGGUGCUGGAAGGUUAAUUGAUGGGGUCAGCCGCAAGGCGAAGCUCUUGAUCGAAGCCCCAGUAAACGGCGGCCGUAACUAUAACGGUCCUAAGGUAGCGAAAUUCCUUGUCGGGUAAGUUCCGACCUGCACGAAUGGCGUAAUGAUGGCCAGGCUGUCUCCACCCGAGACUCAGUGAAAUUGAACUCGCUGUGAAGAUGCAGUGUACCCGCGGCAAGACGGAAAGACCCCGUGAACCUUUACUAUAGCUUGACACUGAAUAUUGAGCCUUGAUGUGUAGGAUAGGUGGGAGGCAUUGAAGCGUGGACGCCAGUCUGCGUGGAGCCAACCUUGAAAUACCACCCUUUAAUGUUUGAUGUUCUAACUCGGCCCCAUAAUCUGGGGUGAGGACAGUGUCUGGUGGGUAGUUUGACUGGGGCGGUCU